Molecule: ribosomal RNA, 192 nt
Filed under: Triticum aestivum (bread wheat)
Lineage: Eukaryota; Viridiplantae; Streptophyta; Magnoliopsida; Poales; Poaceae
Description: partial small subunit ribosomal RNA
Source: RNAcentral
AUGGCGUCUGUACCUGCAGCAUGUGGAGUUCGACAUAUACACGGACCAAAAGAGCUUGACACACCUGGAAGAACAAAGGCUCACCACUCCGUGGCAGCAGAAAGCAUUUGCAAAACUUCUGGGGCUGAGAUACAGAAUCAGGUACAAGAAAGGAGCAGAGAACAACGGAGCAGAUACGCUGUCUCGAGCUAA